This 463-nucleotide ribosomal RNA is filed under the name uncultured bacterium. Its description in RNAcentral is "partial 16S ribosomal RNA". It matches the Rfam family "Bacterial small subunit ribosomal RNA", at positions 28 to 507 of the family's 1533-position model. The record is from RNAcentral.
GACGAACGCUGGCGGCGUGCUUAACACAUGCAAGUCGAACGGAAAGGCCUUUUCGGAGGUACUCGAGUGGCGAACGGGUGAGUAACACGUGGGUGAUCUGCCCUGCACUCUGGGAUAAGCCUGGGAAACUGGGUCUAAUACCGGAUAGGACCGCACUUUAGUGUGUGUGGUGGAAAGUUUUUUCGGUGUAGGAUGAGCCCGCGGCCUAUCAGCUUGUUGGUGGGGUAAUGGCCUACUAAGGCGGCGACGGGUAGCCGGACUGAGAGUUAGGUAGGCAACAUUGGAACUGAUGAACGGCCCAGUCACCGCCGAGGGGCAGCUAGUGGAAAUGUUGCAGAAGGAGCACAGGCCUGAUGCAUCUACGCUGCGUGGUAGAUGACAGCCUUCUUGUUGUGAACUCCUUUCUCCAGGGACGAGUCUUUUUGUGACGGUACCUGGUGAAGAAGCACCGGCUAACUACGUG